Molecule: ribosomal RNA, 406 nt
Filed under: uncultured bacterium
Lineage: Bacteria
Description: partial 16S ribosomal RNA
Rfam family: Bacterial small subunit ribosomal RNA
Source: RNAcentral
AUUGAACGCUGGCGGCAGGCCUAACACAUGCAAGUCGAGCGAGCGGCGGACGGGUGUGAAAUGUCUGGGAAACUGUCUGAUGGCGGGGGAUAACUCCUGGAAACGGUAGCUAUUAUCGCACAUCCCAUGAUGUGCCCAGAUGGGAUGAGCUAGUAGGUGGGGUAACGGCUCACCUAGGCGACGAUCCCGAGCUGGUCUGAGAGGAUGACCAGCAACACUGGAACUGAGACACGGUCCAGACUCCUACGUGAGGCAGCAGUGGGGAAUAUUGCACAAUGGGCGCAAGCCUGAUGCAGCCAUGCCGCGUGUGUGAAGAAGGCCUUCGGGUUGUAAAGCACUUUCAGCGGGGAGGCGUUACCCGCAGAAGAAGCACCGGCUAACUCCGUGCCAGCAGCCGCGGUAAUAC